AACGAACGCUGGCGGCAGGCCUAACACAUGCAAGUCGAACGCCCUAGCAAUAGGGAGUGGCAGACGGGUGAGUAACACGUGGGAACCUUCCCUAUAGUACGGAAUAUACCAGGGAAACUUGGAGCAAUACCGUAUACGCCCGAGAGGGGAAAGAUUUAUCGCUAUAGGAUGGGCCCGCGUAGGAUUAGCUAGUUGGUGAGGUAAUGGCUCACCAAGGCGACGAUCCUUAGCUGGUUUGAGAGAACGACCAGCCACACUGGGACUGAGACACGGCCCAGACUCCUACGGGAGGCAGCAGUGGGGAAUAUUGGACAAUGGGCGGCAAGCCUGAUCCAGCCAUGCCGCGUGAGUGAUGAAGGCCUUAGGGUUGUAAAGCUCUUUUGGCGGGGACGAUAAUGACGGUACCCGCAGAAUAAGUCCCGGCUAACUUCGUGCCAGCCGCCGCAGUAA
RNAcentral lists this ribosomal RNA (450 nucleotides) under uncultured bacterium. Its description in RNAcentral is "bacterial SSU rRNA". It matches the Rfam family "Bacterial small subunit ribosomal RNA", at positions 29 to 523 of the family's 1533-position model. The record is from RNAcentral.